Non-coding RNA from Ictidomys tridecemlineatus (thirteen-lined ground squirrel), 69 nucleotides. The record is from Rfam. Lineage: Eukaryota; Metazoa; Chordata; Mammalia; Rodentia; Sciuridae.
GGGGCUGUAGCUCAGUGGUAAAGUGCUUGCCUCGAAAGUGUGAGGCACUGGGUUCGAUCCUCAGCACCA